AGGCCCAGCAGCAAAUGAAGUUGGCGGCUGACAAACAUAGAAGAGAUGUGGAAUAUAUGGCAGGAGAUUAGGUUUAUUUGAAAAUGAGGUCGUAUAGGCAUAAGUCACUAGUGGUAUGCUGCUAAGAAGAUUAGCCCCGAGGUACUCUGGACCGUUUGAGGUGUUGGCAAGGGUGGAAAAGAUGGCUUAUCGCUUGCUGCUGCCUGUGUACACCCUGUUUUCCAUGUGUCGCAACUGAGAAAGGUGGUGGGAAAUGCUCCUGUAACGUCUUCCUUGCCCCCCUCAACUUGGUGAAGAUUGGGAGUUACUUGUGGAACCAGAAUUUGUCUUAGGAUUCAGACAGCCAAAUCAGGGUACAGAUGCUAUGGAAGUCUUGAUUCGGUGGAAGGGUCUGUUGCCUAUGGAAGCAACUUGGGAGCCAUUUGACUUAAUCAACCAGCAGUUUCCUUCUUUGAACCUUGCGGACAAGGUGACUGCAUUGGACCCCGGGUUGGGGGGGGGGGGGAUUUGAUAAGCCCCCAAUUAAAUUUACAUAUACAAGAUGUAAGAAGGCCAAGCAAGCACAUGGUGGGGAAAGCCAACAACUUGACAGCAGGGCUCAAUAGGAGUCUCUAGAAGGAUGCUGAGUCUGUAAAAUUGUUAGGGACUGUUAGUCAGUUUGUUAGAGUUACUUGGGGGAAGGGUAUAAAUAAAACAUGUAAGGAGAGGGGAGGGGAUGUGAAAGAAAUCAAGUAAGAAUUAGGGGAAUGGAGAAUCGUAAUUUCCAUUAAGUUCUCAUUUAGAGUACAUAUUUCAUUUUGAAUCUAUAUUACAGAAAAUUUCCCCAAAAUUCCUCAUUCUCAGUAUUCUCUUCUCUAUUGCAGUGAGCCUUAAUAUUGUCUAUCUGGGAAAGAUUUCUAUCCUCUGCUUAAUUUCAAAACUUCACUCUAUCUUACUCCCAGUAUGGUGAAUAAACUACUGUUGGUCCCUAGUGAAUUUGAUUCUUGAAGUGCACAGACUCCUAAGUGGAGAUUUAGUCCACCAUCAGAUUUUCACAACUACUCAAUAUUUGAUAAGUAUUCAUUUGUGUUUUGAAUGUGGAAUUUUCUUUACAGGAGAUGAUAACUAAUUAGCAGUCUGCCUUUAUAUCUAGUAUGAAAGUAUCCUUUUGUGCUGUGAUGGUUGAUUUUUAUCUUCUUGUUAUAUAUAUUGAUAGUUGAUACUUGCAGCCAUUUAGAGACGAAAAAACUCAAGAGGAAUCAAGGAAAGAAAUGACGAAACCUCCUAAACGCCUGAAAAAGUUCCGCUAGGGAUUAAUGUCAACGUCAGGGUGUUGGUUUUUGAAAUCUUACAUGAGUUCAUUUUGCAAGUUGUAGAACGAAUGGUGCUGUUUGUACCCAAUACAAAGUCUUAUUUCAACCAAUGUAUACAGGUGGCAUUGUCGUUUUGAUGUAGUUAAUUUACUUCAUGACACGAGCAGUCGAAUUACUGUUGCGCUCAAGUAUUGUUCAGAAUGCUUCAGUUUUAAAGAUGCUGGAAGAGCAUAAACGAGCACCACCACCGCCCUGCGUUUCAGUAAUAUUGAUUAAUUUUUGUAUUGUGUAUCAUCAUUAUAAAAUGGCAAAAUGAGGUUUAACUUGCAUUUUUGUUGACUUAAAUGGUAGUGUAUCUUAUUAGUAGACAAGAAUAAAUUCGGGCUUAAUCGCCUCACUUUUCUUGUUAUUUGCAGUUUAAGUUAGAUUGCCUUUCCAAAUUCUUUUGUCCA
Olea europaea var. sylvestris is the source of this 1744-nucleotide long non-coding RNA. RefSeq lists it as uncharacterized. Lineage: Eukaryota; Viridiplantae; Streptophyta; Magnoliopsida; Lamiales; Oleaceae. The record is from RefSeq and is a predicted model, not a curated record. The transcript is spliced from 2 exons.